This 497-nucleotide ribosomal RNA is filed under the name uncultured bacterium. RNAcentral describes it as "partial 16S ribosomal RNA". It matches the Rfam family "Bacterial small subunit ribosomal RNA", at positions 28 to 507 of the family's 1533-position model. The record is from RNAcentral.
GAUGAACGCUGGCGGCGUGCCUAAUACAUGCAAGUCGAGCGAACAGACGAGGAGCUUGCUCCUCUGACGUUAGCGGCGGACGGGUGAGUAACAUGAGGAUCACCUACCUAUAAGACUGGGAUAACUUCGGGAAACCGGAGCUAAUACCGGAUAAUAUAUUGAACCGCAUGGUUCAAUAGUGAAAGACGGUUUUGCUGUAACUUAUAGCUGGAUCCCCGCUGCAUUAGCUAGUUGGUAAGGUAACGGCUUACCAAGGCAACGAUGCGUAGCCGACCUGAGAGGGUGAUCGGCCACACGGGAACGUAGACACGCUCCAGACUCCUACGGGAGGCAGCAGUAGGGAACCUGCCGCAAUGGUCGAAAACUUGACGGAGCAACGCGGCGUGAGUGAUGGAGAUCUUCGGAUCGUAAAGCUCUGUUAUUAGGGAAGAACAGAUGUGUAAGUAACUAUGGACGUCUUGACGGUACCUGAUCAGAAAGCCACGGCUAACUACGUG